RNAcentral lists this unclassified non-coding RNA (1034 nucleotides) under Hevea brasiliensis (rubber tree). The record is from RNAcentral. Lineage: Eukaryota; Viridiplantae; Streptophyta; Magnoliopsida; Malpighiales; Euphorbiaceae.
GUAAGACCACCAGACAGAGAGGAAUUCAAUGAUGUGUAUAUUGUGUAUGAGCUAAUGGAUACUGAUCUGCAUCAGAUAAUACGCUCUUCACAGGCCCUCACAGAAGAUCAUUGUCAAUACUUCCUCUAUCAAUUAUUGCGUGGACUCAAGUAUGUACAUUCUGCUAAUGUUCUUCACCGGGAUCUGAAACCUAGCAACUUGCUACUCAAUGCAAACUGUGACCUCAAGAUCUGUGAUUUUGGGCUUGCUAGAACCACUUCCGAGGCAGAUUUUAUGACUGAGUAUGUUGUUACCCGAUGGUAUAGGGCACCCGAGCUACUACUUAAUUGUACCGAAUAUACUGCAGCGAUUGAUAUAUGGUCAGUUGGUUGCAUUUUGAUGGAACUCGUUAAGAGAGAGCCUCUUUUUCCCGGCAGAGACUAUGCUCAGCAAUUGGGGCUUAUCAUUAAGUUAUUAGGUUCACCGGAGGAGUCUGAUCUUGGAUUCCUAAGGAGUGACAAUGCUAGGAAGUACGUCAAGCAGCUGCCUCAAGUUCCAAAGCAACCAUUUUCCGAGCAUUUCCCUGAUGUGUCCCCUUUAGCCCUUGAUCUUGCAGAAAAGAUGUUGGUUUUUGAUCCAGCUAAACGCAUAACUGUUGAGGAUGCAUUGAAUCAUCCAUUCAUGAUAAGUCUCCAUGAGAUAAACGAGGAACCAGUUUGCACUUCUCCUUUCAACUUCGACUUUGAACAAGCAUCUCUAAGCGAGGAAGACAUUAAGGAGCUCAUAUGGAACGAGGCUCUUAAGUUUGAUCCCGCUACAACCAAGUGAUGAUCCAUACUAUAUUUCCUCAAUAGCUUGUUUCAUCAAUAUCUGGAGUGUGAUUUGGUUUAGCCAUUUGUGACAUCUGUUUGAUUGUUCUUUUAAGCUGAGCUUGGAGAGUUUGGUUUUCCUCCCUUCAUACACGGGGUUGUUAUAAGGGAGUGCGCGCAUGAUGGGGGAGUAAUCAAUGGAUUCAUAUUCUACUCAAGAAUCCUUCCCCCACCUCGAAAUUUUAU